RNAcentral lists this ribosomal RNA (482 nucleotides) under uncultured bacterium. RNAcentral's name for it is "partial 16S ribosomal RNA". It matches the Rfam family "Bacterial small subunit ribosomal RNA", at positions 30 to 507 of the family's 1533-position model. The record is from RNAcentral.
AUUGAACGCUGGCGGCAUGCCUUACACAUGCAAGUCGAACGGUAACGGGCCUUCGGGUGCCGACGAGUGGCGAACGGGUGAGUAAUACAUCGGAACGUGCCCGAUCGUGGGGGAUAACGAGGCGAAAGCUUUGCUAAUACCGCAUACGAUCUACGGAUGAAAGCAGGGGACCGCAAGGCCCUGCGCGGACGGAGCGGCCGAUGGCAGAUUAGGUAGUUGGUGGGAUAAAAGCUUACCAAGCCGACGAUCUGUAGCUGGUCUGAGAGGAUGAUCAGCCACACUGGGACUGAGACACGGCCCAGACUCCUACGGGAGGCAGCAGUGGGGAAUUUUGGACAAUGGGCGCAAGCCUGAUCCAGCCAUGCCGCGUGCAGGAUGAAGGCCUUCGGGUUGUAAACUGCUUUUGUACGGAACGAAAAGCCUUCUUUUAAUACAGGAGGGUCAUGACGGUACCGUAAGAAUAAGCACCGGCUAACUACGUG